This 399-nucleotide ribosomal RNA is filed under the name Triticum aestivum (bread wheat). RNAcentral's name for it is "partial small subunit ribosomal RNA". The record is from RNAcentral. Lineage: Eukaryota; Viridiplantae; Streptophyta; Magnoliopsida; Poales; Poaceae.
AUGGACUACUCGCUGGCGGCGCUGAAGCUGUUGGCCUCGCAGCUGGAGGGCUCCACCUCCUUCGAGGGCUCCUCCCCGGCGCAGAUGCUGCAAGGCGGGGUGGUGCGCGCGGACUGCACCAUCGGCGACGCGAGGUUGUUCGUGGAUGACGGCGCCUCCUCCGUCACCGAGCUCAUGCUCCGACCCGAGGAUGCCAAGGGCCCGUGGCGCCCAGGGAUGUAUGGGCUGAUUAUUGGGGCAUAUAUUGCAGACUGGGAAAGUCUGCCGAUGGUCAAGGUGCACAAGAUAGUGGAUCUCUCUGCGCAGCCGGACCGUGAAGCGAUGUGGUACAUGGAAGUGGCCGAGGCAUACAACUUCUUCAACAAGGCUGUCGCCUCUCGUGCCGGCUCACCGCCAUGA